RNAcentral lists this ribosomal RNA (672 nucleotides) under Pseudonomoneura calderwoodi. RNAcentral describes it as "partial 16S ribosomal RNA". The record is from RNAcentral. Lineage: Eukaryota; Metazoa; Arthropoda; Insecta; Diptera; Mydidae.
AUGUCAACAUGAGCAAAUUUUGGACUUCAAGAUAGAGCCUCCCCUUUAAUAGAACAAUUAACGUUUUUUCAUGAUCACGCCCUAUUAAUUUUAAUUAUAAUUACCACUUUAGUAGGAUACAUUAUAAUUAUAUUAUUUUUUAAUAAUCAUAUUAAUCGAUUUUUAUUACACGGACAAACAAUCGAAAUAAUCUGAACAAUUCUCCCAGCUAUUAUCUUACUAUUUAUUGCUUUUCCAUCCUUACGCCUCUUAUAUCUUUUAGAUGAAAUUAAUGAACCUGCUAUUACAUUAAAAACUAUUGGCCACCAAUGAUACUGAAGCUAUGAAUACUCUGACUUCGUAGACUUAGAAUUUGACUCAUAUAUAAUUCCAACAAAUGAUUUACCAGCAGAAGGAUUCCGACUUUUAGACGUAGAUAACCGAGUUAUACUACCAAUAAAUACUCAAAUUCGAAUUUUAAUUACUGCUGCAGAUGUUAUUCAUUCAUGAACUAUCCCUAGACUAGGGGUCAAAGUUGAUGGAACCCCAGGACGAUUAAAUCAAACUAAUUUUAUUAUUAAUCGUCCUGGCCUUUAUUACGGGCAAUGUUCAGAAAUUUGCGGAGCAAACCAUAGAUUUAUACCUAUUGUAAUCGAAAGUACCCCAGUAAACAAUUUCAUCAAAUGAAUUCAA